This 292-nucleotide ribosomal RNA is filed under the name uncultured bacterium. RNAcentral's name for it is "partial 16S ribosomal RNA". It matches the Rfam family "Bacterial small subunit ribosomal RNA", at positions 505 to 796 of the family's 1533-position model. The record is from RNAcentral.
GUGCCAGCAGCCGCGGUAAUACGAAGGUGGCAAGCGUUACUCGGAAUUACUAGGCGUAAAGGGCAGGUAGGUGGUUCGGUAAGUCUGUUGUGUAAGCUCCCGGCUUAACUGGGAGAGGUCAACGGAAACUACCGGACUUGAGUAUAGGAGAGGUUACUGGAAUUCCCGGUGUAGCGGUGAAAUGCGCAGAGAUCGGGAGGAACACCAAUGGCGAAAGCAGGUAACUGGACUAUUACUGACACUCAGCUGCGAAAGCUAGGGGAGCAAACAGGAUUAGAUACCCUGGUAGUCC